Molecule: ribosomal RNA, 431 nt
Filed under: uncultured bacterium
Lineage: Bacteria
Description: partial 16S ribosomal RNA
Rfam family: Bacterial small subunit ribosomal RNA
Source: RNAcentral
GUGGGGAAUCUUGCACAAUGGGCGAAAGCCUGAUGCAGCGACGCCACGUGCGGGAUGAAGGCCUUCGGGUUGUAAACCGCUUUCAGCAGGGACGAGGCCGCAAGGUGACGGUACCUGCAGAAGAAGCCCCGGCUAACUACGUGCCAGCAGCCGCGGUAAUACGUAGGGGGCGAGCGUUAUCCGGAUUCAUUGGGCGUAAAGCGCGUGUAGGCGGUCCGUUAGGUCGGGAGUCAAAUCCGGGGGCUCAACCCCCGUUCGCUUCCGAUACCGGCGGACUUGAGUCUGGUAGGGGAAGGUGGAAUUCCCAGUGUAGCGGUGGAAUGCGCAGAUAUUGGGAAGAACACCGGUGGCGAAGGCGGCCUUCUGGGCCACGACUGACGCUGAGACGCGAAAGCUAGGGGAGCGAACAGGAUUAGAAACCCUGGUAGUCC